Molecule: ribosomal RNA, 1356 nt
Filed under: metagenome
Description: bacterial LSU rRNA
Rfam family: Bacterial large subunit ribosomal RNA
Source: RNAcentral
UAUGCUAGGAUGUGAUGGGGAAGCCCUCCGGGGCGAAGUAGCUGAUUUCACACUGUCAAGAAAAGCUUCUAUCGAGUUUAAAGGCGCCCGUACCGUAAACCGACACAGGUGGGUGAGGAGAGUAUCCUAAGGCCAGCGAGAGAACUAUUGUUAAGGAACUCGGCAAAAUGACCCCGUAACUUAGGGAGAAGGGGUGCCUGUCUAUGACAGGCCGCAGAGAAUAGGCCCAAGCGACUGUUUACCAAAAACACAGGUUUCUGCUAAGUCGCAAGACGAUGUAUAGGAGCUGACGCCUGCCCGGUGCUGGAAGGUUAAGGGGAUCUGUUAGAGCAAUCGAAGCAGUGAACUUAAGCCCCAGUAAACGGCGGCCGUAACUAUACGGUCCUAAGGUAGCGAAAUUCCUUGUCGGGUAAGUUCCGACCCGCACGAAAGGCGUAACGAUUUGGGCACUGUCUCAACAAUAGACUCGGUGAAAUUGUAAUCCCGGUGAAGAUGCCGGGUACCUGCGACAGGACGGAAAGACCCCAUGGAGCUUUACUGUAGCUUGACGUUGGGUCUUGGUACUACAUGUACAGGAUAGGUGGGAGACUAUGAAGCAUGGACGCCAGUCUGUGUGGAGUCAUCCUUGGGAUACCACCCUUGUAGUACUGGGAUCCUAACCAUAGGCCUUGAAUCAGGUCUUGGAACACCGUCAGGUGGGCAGUUUGACUGGGGCGGUCGCCUCCUAAAAAGUAACGGAGGCGCUCAAAGGUUUCCUCAGCACGGUCGGAAAUCGUGCGUAGAGUGUAAAGGCAAAAGGAAGCUUGAUUGCAAGACAUACAGGUCGAGCAAGGACGAAAGUCGGACUUAGUGAUCCGGUGGUACCGCAUGGAAGGGCCAUCGCUCAACGGAUAAAAGCUACCCUGGGGAUAGCAGGCUUAUCUCCCCCAAGAGUCCACAUCGACGGGGAGGUUUGGCACCUCGAUGUCGGCUCAUCACAUCCUGGGGCUGUAGUAGGUCCCAAGGGUUGGGCUGUUCGCCCAUUAAAGUGGUACGCGAGCUGGGUUCAGAACGUCGUGAGACAGUUCGGUCCCUAUCCGUCGCAGGCGUAGGAAAUUUGAGAAGACCUGUCCUUAGUACGAGAGGACCGGGAUGGACGUACCUCUGGUGUACCAGUUGUUCUGCCAAGGGCAUGGCUGGGUAGCUAUGUACGGAAUGGAUAAGCGCUGAAAGCAUCUAAGCGCGAAGCCAACUUCAAGAUAAGAUUUCCCACCGUAAGGGUAAGACCCCAGGAAGACUACCUGGCUGAUAGGUCGAAGGUGUAAGUGCAGUAAUGUAUUUAGCUUAUCGAUACUAAUAGGUCGAGGACUUGACCAG